GAUGAAGAACGUAGUGAAAUGCGAUAAGUAAUGCGAAUUGCAGAAUUCAGUGAGUCAUCGAAUCUUUGAACGCACAUUGCGCCCUGUGGUAUUCCGCAGGGCAUGCCUGUUCGAGCGUCAUUUCAACCCUCAAGCUCUGCUUGGUGUUGGGCCACGCCCUCGCGGCCGGCCCCAAAGCCAGUGGCGGCGCCGUCCGGCUCUAAGCGUAGUACAUCUCUCGCUCUAGGGCCCGGCGGCUGCCUGCCAGAACCCCAAACUCUUAUGGUUGACCUCGGAUCAGGUAGGGAUACCCGCUGAACUUAAGCAUAUCAAUAAGCGGAGGA
Molecule: unclassified non-coding RNA, 323 nt
Filed under: soil metagenome
Description: partial contains 5.8S ribosomal RNA, internal transcribed spacer 2, and large subunit ribosomal RNA
Rfam family: 5.8S ribosomal RNA (bases 1-120)
Source: RNAcentral